AACGCACAUUGCGCCCCUUGGUAUUCCAUGGGGCAUGCCUGUUCGAGCGUCAUUUGUACCCUCAAGCUUUGCUUGGUGUUGGGUGUUUGUCCCGCGCUCUUUUGCGCAAGACUCGCCUUAAAUCAAUUGGCAGCCGGCAUGUUAGCCUGGAGCGCAGCACAUUUUGCGCCCCUUGCUUGCUUGUGUUGGCCCCCAUCAAGUCCAUAUAUUUGCUCUUGACCUCGGAUCAGGUAGGGAUACCCGCUGAACUUAA
RNAcentral lists this unclassified non-coding RNA (253 nucleotides) under uncultured Leptosphaeria. RNAcentral's name for it is "sequence contains ITS2". Lineage: Eukaryota; Fungi; Ascomycota; Dothideomycetes; Pleosporales; Leptosphaeriaceae. The record is from RNAcentral.